UCGGCACCGAAGUGUGUUUCGGCAACGAGAACGUUGUUGUUGUUGUUGUUGUUGUCGUCAUCGUCGUCGUCGCCAUCAUCGCCAUCAAGGUGCGUGUGUGCUGCUGGUGCUGCCUGCCUGCCUGCCUGCCUGCGAGGCUGCGGUGCGCGGGGGACGGGCAGGCAGGAAAGAAGGCAGGCAAACAGGCAGGCAGGGAAGGCAGGCGUGCCCUUACGCUAGUUACGUGCUCGGGUGUUGCCGCCCCGAGAGGAUUGGUAACUUGCAGAAGCUGUGGAAUGAUAUGACUCUUCCCAAUCGGAUCCCCGUGUCUGUGAAGAACCUUGGGCAUGUGAAGAAAACCUAACUUGAAACACCCUUCAAAUUUUCUGGUAACUCUUUGUAGGUAUGAGCAUCCGAUUCUGUCCUUUUGCUAUGGGUACUGAGUGGGGUUUUCUGGGCUAAAGUACUGGUGCAUGCUCUGAUUUUUUUUUUGUUGAAGCCUUCAAAAUUUUGAGGGUCAGUCUGCUUUCUUCGCACCUGAGGCGACUGUUAUUAACAUGCAUCUACCACUUACUCGUGCUCAAAAUAUUUCGAAGUCUAUCAGUGUGACUAGGCCAGGGUCUUAGAUCCUUGUGGAUCUGGGUGGAUCGCAGCUUUUCUAAUUUAACAGGCGGAUAUGGCUGUUUGAAUUCUUGGAACGCAGCUUCAUCAGCUGUACAUGGGAUAGAGAAUCGAUUACCUAGGAUCAGGUAGCAUUCAGGAUCCUCAUUGGUCACUUCACUUCUCAUGAGUUCUUCGUUGGUCAACUUCAGUCCCACGGAGAUCAGUAGUUAGAGCAAGGAGUAACUAUGUCAUCUCCCGCAUAGCUGAACGUGGGUUUCGAAAUGUGUGCAAUCUCCAUUUAAUACGCAGGCCUUGUGAAUCUUAUAAUCCAGUUACCCAGCAGGUUUCUGAGCUCCGUUCUGUACUGAUCACCAAUCUGCAUCGUGAUGUCAGACAUUGUCUUUAUGAUAGACUAUUCGACUAUGCCUGUCACCUCUUCUGUGAGUUGACACCAGCAUCUUUUUUUGUGCACUUCUGUGUUGGUAAUAAUUCCAUUGGAAUUGGAAUCUCCCCAGUCUCUUAAUCUUAUCCUGUCUCAAUGGAGUUCAUCUACGAGCACGAACAAGUUAUGCAAGUUAGUAUUCAAGCUCAAAUGAGAUCAAAUAGGUAUGACUGUUUUUGUAAGGACCUUAUUUUCUCUCUGCGGUUUCUGAUAGCGUCAUUUAGAGGUUGCUUCUGGGUGUGCUCAAAUCAAUUGGAACUUAUCGAUAUUUGUGAGGUUGACAUCCAACACAUCAUCAGUAGAGUAUGUCACUGACAGAGGAAUCAUUGGUGACAAUUGUGAUGCAAGUGCCAUUGCAUCUUUUAAUACAAUGCCAGCUGAGUCAAAUGCAUUGGAGAUAAUUGUCUGCUUUGUAAUGCCUCAAGUUAGAACCAUCGCGACUGCCAUGGCAAUCUACAACAUUUCCAGACUCAUCACGGAGUGCUUUUACGACUGUUUCCUGAGAUAAAGUUACCUUGAUUUCGUAAAUUGUUAUGUCUCACGGUAUUGGGAAAGGCACCAUGAAGUCAUGGAGGUGCCCUUUGGCAACUCCAGUAUCAGUUCAUUGAGCCCAUCAUUUAGUAUCUUUAUGACUCAGUAAGUUUGAGAAGCACUCAGUUGCGGACUGUUGGUGGUACACUGAAAUUGUUCGACGUGCUUAUAAUUGGAAUCGCUCAUGUAGCCGUAAAGCUCGGUUUUCACAUUAUGUGAAGAACUGUACUUGUCAAGCCAGAUAGGCUUCAGCUUUUGAUGUCAGGUAGUAGCUAGUGCAUACUCGUCUGUAGUGUUUGCUACCAUGUGUAUGUUGUAGGGUCUGCAUCAAAUAUAUCUAGUGCACCAUUUUUUCUGCAUCAGUUGUAUCAUAAAGAGUACCUUCCGUUUUGAA
Molecule: non-coding RNA, 1949 nt
Organism: Physcomitrium patens
Lineage: Eukaryota; Viridiplantae; Streptophyta; Bryopsida; Funariales; Funariaceae
Source: RefSeq, a predicted model, not a curated record